Molecule: ribosomal RNA, 66 nt
Filed under: Fusarium proliferatum
Lineage: Eukaryota; Fungi; Ascomycota; Sordariomycetes; Hypocreales; Nectriaceae
Description: partial 28S ribosomal RNA
Source: RNAcentral
GAAUGUUGACCUCGGAUCAGGUAGGAAUACCCGCUGAACUUAAGCAUAUCAAAAGUCCCGGAGGAA